RNAcentral lists this ribosomal RNA (255 nucleotides) under uncultured bacterium. Its description in RNAcentral is "partial 16S ribosomal RNA". It matches the Rfam family "Bacterial small subunit ribosomal RNA", at positions 524 to 777 of the family's 1533-position model. The record is from RNAcentral.
UACGAAGGGGGCUAGCGUUGCUCGGAAUUACUGGGCGUAAAGCGCACGUAGGCGGUCUUUUAAGUCGGGGGUGAAAUCCUGGAGCUCAACUCCAGAACUGCCCUUCGAUACUGGAAGACUUGAGUCCGGGAGAGGUGAGUGGAACUGCGAGUGUAGAGGUGAAAUUCGUAGAUAUUCGCAAGAACACCAGUGGCGAAGGCGGCUCACUGGCCCGGUACUGACGCUGAGGUGCGAAAGCGUGGGGAGCAAACAGGG